GUGUUCGCUUCAGCAGCACACAUACUAAAAUUGGAACACUACAGAGAAGAUUAGCAUCCCCUGUGCAAGGAUGACACGCAAAUUCGUGAAGGGUUCCAUAUUUUU
This is a small nuclear RNA of Dipodomys ordii (Ord's kangaroo rat), 105 nucleotides long. NCBI's taxonomy places the organism in Eukaryota, Metazoa, Chordata, Mammalia, Rodentia, Heteromyidae. The record is from Ensembl.